This is a long non-coding RNA of Caretta caretta (loggerhead turtle), 326 nucleotides long. RefSeq lists it as uncharacterized. The record is from RefSeq and is a predicted model, not a curated record. NCBI's taxonomy places the organism in Eukaryota, Metazoa, Chordata, Testudines, Cheloniidae.
GGGAAGCAGCAGAUUCACCCCCCCUCCCUCUGAUAGCUAGGGGAGGGGGCGGGAAGCAAAUUCACACACCCCCAGCUACCAAGUAAAGGAGGGGGAAAGAAAUAUCCAAGGGGAAAUCCGAACCAGGUGACUUUUCAAGUUAAAUGGGGAACCCAAGGCAACGUUCCUGUAUCGAUUACGUCACUGCAAGGGAAUGGAUGCACUGGCUUUCUGGAUGGGAAGCACCACUGAUGCUUCCAGCCGCCUCUGAUGCAGAUAGAACCCUCCACUUCAAGAUGAAAAUAAAGGAGGGAGCUAAAUAAUCUAAUAAAGGAGGGGGCACAAUG